Molecule: long non-coding RNA, 725 nt
Organism: Chenopodium quinoa (quinoa)
Lineage: Eukaryota; Viridiplantae; Streptophyta; Magnoliopsida; Caryophyllales; Amaranthaceae
Exons: 3
Source: RefSeq, a predicted model, not a curated record
ACAAUGUCAAUCAAUUUAGAAGAAAUUGGUGGGGAGCCGAGAUACAAUUUAGGUCUCCACCCCUCUAGUUAUAGCAAAUCCGAUCCUGUUAGUUUUAGCGAACGCCUGAAUCCGCUUCAACAGCGCAAUAACAUCCUUCCCUAAUUCCCCCACGAAGAAAAGAAGAAAGAAAGAAAACCAUAGCCAAAUAGGUAAUAGACAUGCAACCUGCCCCAUCCUUCUCUAGCUUCCAAAAAUUGAAAUGAUCCCGACAAAACCAAUAAUUAUUGAUUCCGACAAAAGACAAUUGACACCCUAUCAUUUCAAUUUAUUUUUGUUAGCACUAAACAGUUAACAGUAUAAGAUAUUAAGAAAGGCAAGAACCACAUUGAAAUGAUAGGGUGCAAAAUCUCUUUUGUCUGGAUCAAUUUGUACUGGUUUCCGCCUCCACCAUUGCCGGUUUACUGUGGGAUGAUGUAAUAAUUUCUGCCGUUUAGCAUUAUUUCACCAUCGAUCCUACUCAUUUACACGCUAGUUGGUAGAAGUUUUGAAUAAGUAUUUAGUUGUGCAAUGGAUCCCUCUAUCAUGAAGCAACUCAAAGAGGAUGAGGCCCAAGCUAUGAGCGCGUACCAGCAUGUGAGAGGCCAGAUUAGCCACAUGUACCAUUUGGAGUUCAAAGGGUUCGAGGCAAGUGAGGCAAACCCAAGCCGGAGAUGGUAGACAGACUGCAGAGUUGUCAGAUGCGU